GUGCUCGCCUCGGCAGCACAUAUACUAAAAUUGGAACGAUACAGAGAUUAGCAUGGCCCCUGCGCAAGGAAAAAAAGAGAAAAAAAUAGCCGUGCACUGUGGUA
Small nuclear RNA from Otolemur garnettii (small-eared galago), 104 nucleotides. The record is from Ensembl. Lineage: Eukaryota; Metazoa; Chordata; Mammalia; Primates; Galagidae.